UCUAUAUCAGAUAUAUUAGAUCUGUUUGUAUCUUUAGUUAGCUUUCUCCUGCAUCUCACUGGUUUUUCUAUUUCAUGGAAUUGGUGGCGAACCGAUUCUCUCGUCUCAUUCUGUUGGAGUUGCUGAGGAAGGAACACAGUGGUGGUCAUCAAGGCUUCUCAUUUUUGUUCGUGGUAUUAGUUGGUAUAUUAGGCAUUCUUGUGGGCUACCUUGUUAAGACAUAGGACAUUUUGCAGUACUGGUCGUAACAACAUGGUGUCGUAAUGUGUUCAUGAUAAACUGGUUUGCAGGAUAAGUGAAGCAGGACUGUGCAUGUCGGGGAAAUGCUGUGCCCAUUUGUUCUAUGAUUCUUGAAUGUAUUUUGGUCUCAGUGCUGUAUCUCUUUAUCCUGAACUCGUGCCAUUUGAUAGUAUCUUCUCGCCGUUAAAAGAAGAAAAAGGAAGAGAUCUUUUGUCU
Long non-coding RNA from Nymphaea colorata (pocket water lily), 456 nucleotides. RefSeq lists it as uncharacterized. Lineage: Eukaryota; Viridiplantae; Streptophyta; Magnoliopsida; Nymphaeales; Nymphaeaceae. The record is from RefSeq and is a predicted model, not a curated record. The transcript is spliced from 2 exons.